Molecule: non-coding RNA, 308 nt
Organism: Microcebus murinus (gray mouse lemur)
Lineage: Eukaryota; Metazoa; Chordata; Mammalia; Primates; Cheirogaleidae
Source: RefSeq, a predicted model, not a curated record
CGCCCUGGGCGCGGUCACCUCGGUCCCCAGACGCCUCGGGUUCCUGCAGGCUACGAAGACGAAGACGCACGGAGGACGGCGCGGUUCCGACAGAGGGCGCCAAAGGCGGCAUGCGAGCGGCCAGCUCCAGGCGGAGCCCUGUGCGCCGCAGGAACCGGCCCCUUCACCCGGCGCGGGACGCAGAGCUGCGCGAGAAUCUUGAUCGGCGCGGACUCAACGCCAGGGCGCCGCCUAGAGGUCUGUUUCUGCCUUGGCCUCACCCGCCGCAACCUCAGAGCUGCUUCCCCAGCCGCCUGCCACCAGAAAUU